CGCGAGGGGGAGCAAAUCACAAAAAUGCCAUCUCAGUUCGGAUUGUAGUCUGCAACUCGACUACAUGAAGCUGGAAUCGCUAGUAAUCGCGAAUCAGAAUGUCGCGGUGAAUACGUUCCCGGGUCUUGUACACACCGCCCGUCACACCAUGGGAGUCAGUAACGCCCGAAGUCAGUGACCCAACCGCAAGGAGGGAGCUGCCGAAGGCGGGACCGAUAACUGGGGUGAAGUCGUAACAAGGUAGCCGUAUCGGAAGGUGCGGCUGGAUCACCUCCUUUCUAAGGAA
This 286-nucleotide ribosomal RNA is filed under the name Anaerostipes sp. 992a. RNAcentral describes it as "partial 16S ribosomal RNA". It matches the Rfam family "Bacterial small subunit ribosomal RNA", at positions 1256 to 1533 of the family's 1533-position model. Lineage: Bacteria; Bacillati; Bacillota; Clostridia; Lachnospirales; Lachnospiraceae. The record is from RNAcentral.